GACGAACCGUGCGAACGUUAUUCGGAUUCACUGGGCUUAAAGGGCGCGUAGGCGGGCUAGCCAGUCCGGGGUGAAAUCUUUCGGCUUAACCGGAAAAGUGCCUUGGAUACUGCUGGCCUUGAGGGAGGUAGGGGCAUGUGGAACUUCCGGUGGAGCGGUGAAAUGUGUAGAGAUCGGGAGGAACACCGGUGGCGAAGGCGGGUCUCUGGGCCACUACUGACGCUGAGAAGCGAAAGCAUGGGGAGCGAACAGG
RNAcentral lists this ribosomal RNA (253 nucleotides) under uncultured bacterium. Its description in RNAcentral is "partial 16S ribosomal RNA". It matches the Rfam family "Bacterial small subunit ribosomal RNA", at positions 524 to 776 of the family's 1533-position model. The record is from RNAcentral.